This 798-nucleotide long non-coding RNA is filed under the name Marmota monax (woodchuck). Lineage: Eukaryota; Metazoa; Chordata; Mammalia; Rodentia; Sciuridae. The record is from RNAcentral.
GGCCAGUUCAGCUGAUGCCUCUACCUCCAAGUUUCUCAGAAUCCUGUACUGAAGCUUAGCUGAGAUGAUCAGCCUCCAAGCUCAUUCCUCUGCUACUGGCAGGAUCCAGUUUGGCUGAGCCCCAGUGCUUUUGUUUGUGGUCCAGGAUACUAUAGAAUCUUUGUCCCUGGGGUCAUUCAUAGGGCAGCUCAAAGUAUCUUGAUUGAUUCCCUAAAGGGAGGAUGAGAGAGAGAGCGAGCCAGACAAAAAUCAAACUUCCCAUGACUCAAGUCUUGGAAGUGAUAUCCCAUAACCUUUGUCAAUAUCUGUUCCUUAGAAGCCAGACACCAAGUCUAAUCCACCUAGUUGGGAGGGGACUAAAAGCCUUAUAUACCAAGAGGCUAUGGUCACUGGGAGCCCUGUGGGGUGCACUUGUGGGAUGUGCAAUUUAUGAGAGGAAGCCAUCUGAAGAUCUAUACCAGUCGGGUAAUCUCUGAAUCUCACUUCAAAGUCUCCAUGGUACAGAGUAGGAUGUGGCCAAGAGGUGAAGAGACUUUCCUUAGAUCUCUGUGUGGGACCCAGAUUUGGUUGUGUUACAAUCUUUUUUUCCCUCCUCUUCUAGUGAUCAUCCCCUUUAAAGUUUGUGCAUUAGAAACAUGUGACUCCAGCCUUAAGGUUUCAUGGGUAAUACAGGUACUUAUAGGCCACAUACACUUGAUGACAUACUUAGAAGCAGAUGCUAACAUGACCCCCAGGGAACAAGUAGGGAGUCUCAGGAGGCCCUGAGAGGCACAAUGACUUGUCCAAGGUCACAAAAAU